UUUUUUUCAAUUUUUU
This 16-nucleotide small RNA is filed under the name Arabidopsis thaliana (thale cress). RNAcentral describes it as "ATSL210710". The record is from RNAcentral. Lineage: Eukaryota; Viridiplantae; Streptophyta; Magnoliopsida; Brassicales; Brassicaceae.